This 496-nucleotide ribosomal RNA is filed under the name uncultured bacterium. Its description in RNAcentral is "partial 16S ribosomal RNA". It matches the Rfam family "Bacterial small subunit ribosomal RNA", at positions 28 to 506 of the family's 1533-position model. The record is from RNAcentral.
GAUGAACGCUGGCGGCGUGCCUAAUACAUGCAAGUCGAGCGAACGGACGAGAAGCUUGCUUCUCUGAUGUUAGCGGCGGACGGGUGAGUAACACGUGGAUAACCUACCUAUAAGACUGGGAUAACUUCGGGAAACCGGAGCUAAUACCGGAUGAUAUUUUGAACCGCAUGGUUCAAAAGUGAAAGACGGUCUUGCUGUCACUUAUAGAUGGAUCCGCGCUGCAUUAGCUAGUUGGUAAGGUAACGGCUUACCAAGGCAACGAUGCAUAGCCGACCUGAGAGGGGGAUCGGCCACACGGGAACUGAGACACGGUCCAGACUCCUACGGGAGGCAGCAGUAGGGAAUCUUCCGCAAUGGGCGAAAGCCUGACGGAGCAACGCCGCGUGAGUGAUGAAGGUCUUCGGAUCGUAAAACUCUGUUAUUAGGGAAGAACAUAUGUGUAAGUAACUGUGCACAUCUUGACGGUACCUAAGCAGAAAGCCACGGCUAACUACGU